This 257-nucleotide ribosomal RNA is filed under the name uncultured bacterium. RNAcentral's name for it is "partial 16S ribosomal RNA". It matches the Rfam family "Bacterial small subunit ribosomal RNA", at positions 333 to 588 of the family's 1533-position model. The record is from RNAcentral.
CGUAGCCUACGGGGGGCAGCAGUGAGGAAUAUUGGUCAAUGGGCGAGAGCCUGAACCAGCCAAGUCGCGUGAGGGAGUACUGCCCUAUGGGUUGUAAACCUCUUUUGUCGGGGAGCAAAAGCCGGACGUGUCCGGCUGUGAGAGUACCCGAAGAAAAAGCAUCGGCUAACUCCGUGCCAGCAGCCGCGGUAAUACGUAGGGGGCAAGCGUUAUCCGGAUUUACUGGGUGUAAAGGGAGCGCAGGCGGCGUUGCAAGU